RNAcentral lists this unclassified non-coding RNA (589 nucleotides) under Hevea brasiliensis (rubber tree). The record is from RNAcentral. Lineage: Eukaryota; Viridiplantae; Streptophyta; Magnoliopsida; Malpighiales; Euphorbiaceae.
CAGAAUCUAAAUUGCAUCUCAAUGCCAUUGCCAGUAAGAGCGGAAGAGGAAUCAAAUGACCAAGAGGAGAAAGAUGGAGUUGUUGGCGCCAUUAAAUCACUGUUUGAUCGUAGUGAGAAAACCAAAUCUGNNNNNUUGCCCAGGGCUUACCUCAAGUCAGCACGAGAGGUUGUAAAGACACUGCGUGAGUCAUUAAAUGAAGACCCCAAGGAUAUUGCCAAAUUUAGACGGACUGCAGAUGCAGCAAAAGAGUCGAUUAGAGAAUAUCUGAGCAGUUGGAGAGGACAAGAAAAGGUGGCGCAUGAGGAAUCAUAUGUGGAACUAGAAAAGGCAAUCAGAUGUCUGGCCAGUUUCUACUCGAAGGCUGGCCCAUCUGCACCACUUCCUGAAAAGGUCAGGUCUGAGAUAUUAAAUGAUUUGAGUACGGCUGAAGAAUUUUUGUAGCAGAUGAGCAACUCAGUGCAGAUUUCAGGAUUGCAGAUAGGCUGCAUUGUCUAUGUGCAAUCAAUCUUUAUUUCAUAUUAAAAAGCAGGGAAAACAAAAAAGAAAAAAGAAAGAAAGAAAGCUCAGAUCGUGAGUCCAGAUAUGC